RNAcentral lists this ribosomal RNA (810 nucleotides) under uncultured bacterium. Its description in RNAcentral is "bacterial SSU rRNA". It matches the Rfam family "Bacterial small subunit ribosomal RNA", at positions 8 to 796 of the family's 1533-position model. The record is from RNAcentral.
AGAGUUUGAUCAUGGCUCAGAACGAACGCUGGCGGCGUGGAUAAGACAUGCAAGUCGGACGAGAUUUUCCGUUGUAGCAAUACGAUGGAAAGUCUAGUGGCGAACGGGUGCUUAACACGUGGGCAACCUGCCAAGAAGUGGGGGAUAGCUCGCCGAAAGGCGAAUUAAUACCGCAUGUGAUCAGAGAGGACAUCCUUUCGAAAUUAAAGUCGGGGCAACCUGACGCUUUUUGUGGGGCCCGCGGCCUAUCAGCUAGUUGGUGAGGUAACGGCCCACCAAGGCUUUGACGGGUAGCUGGUCUGAGAGGACGACCAGCCACACUGGGACUGAGACACGGCCCAGACACCUACGGGUGGCAGCAGUCGAGAAUUUUUGACAAUGGGGGAAACCCUGAUCGAGCGACGCCGCGUGGAGGAUGAAGGUCUUCGGAUUGUAAACUCCUGUCAUUGGGGAACAAUGCGUGACGGUUAACUGCCGUUGCGUUGAUAGUACCCGAAGAGGAAGAGACGGCUAACUCUGUGCCAGCAGCCGCGGUAAUACAGAGGUCUCAAGCGUUGUUCGGAUUCAUUGGGCGUAAAGGGUGCGUAGGCGGCGCGGUAAGUCGGGUGUGAAAUCUCGGAGCUUAACUCCGAAACUGCAUUCGAUACUGCCGUGCUUGAGGACUGGAGAGGAGACUGGAAUUUACGGUGUAGCGGUGAAAUGCGUAGAUAUCGUAAGGAAGACCAGUGGCGAAGGCGGGUCUCUGGACAGUUCCUGACGCUGAGGCACGAAGGCCAGGGGAGCAAACGGGAUUAGAUACCCCCGUAGUCC